Molecule: ribosomal RNA, 148 nt
Filed under: Lactifluus sp. JN 2011-012
Lineage: Eukaryota; Fungi; Basidiomycota; Agaricomycetes; Russulales; Russulaceae
Description: 5.8S ribosomal RNA
Rfam family: 5.8S ribosomal RNA
About the family: 5.8S ribosomal RNA (5.8S rRNA) is a component of the large subunit of the eukaryotic ribosome. It is transcribed by RNA polymerase I as part of the 45S precursor that also contains 18S and 28S rRNA.
Source: RNAcentral
CAACUUUCAACAACGGAUCUCUUGGCUCUCGCAUCGAUGAAGAACGCAGCGAAAUGCGAUACGUAAUGUGAAUUGCAGAAUUCAGUGAAUCAUCGAAUCUUUGAACGCACCUUGCGCCCCUUGGUAUUCCGAAGGGCACACCCGUUUG